AACACCUCAACCUCCUCUUGUUUUUUCAAAAGGAGGGUGGACUUGAGCUAUCCCAACAACCUUCACCGGUAGGCGGGCGGCUUGAAAUGCAGGUGCAGCUGGACUUUUAUCUGAGCUAAAAGCAUAUCUAUUUAGUCCUCGUCAAACAGGAUUAUUACUAUUGCUGCAGCUAACAUAAAGGAUAAUUGUCCUCAUUGCUGACUGAUGCAGGAUUUUACGACACUUUAUGUGUUGUUCA
This 238-nucleotide unclassified non-coding RNA is filed under the name Podila humilis. RNAcentral describes it as "partial internal transcribed spacer 2". RNAcentral also lists the same sequence under 3 other names. Lineage: Eukaryota; Fungi; Mortierellomycota; Mortierellomycetes; Mortierellales; Mortierellaceae. The record is from RNAcentral.